This 236-nucleotide ribosomal RNA is filed under the name uncultured Glomeromycotina. RNAcentral describes it as "partial small subunit ribosomal RNA". It matches the Rfam family "Eukaryotic small subunit ribosomal RNA", at positions 492 to 727 of the family's 1831-position model. Lineage: Eukaryota; Fungi; Glomeromycota. The record is from RNAcentral.
UUUUACAAGUCUGGUAAUUGGAAUGAGUACAAUCUAAAUCCCUUAACGAGGAUCAAUUGGAGGGCAAGUCUGGUGCCAGCAGCCGCGGUAAUUCCAGCUCCAAUAGCGUAUAUUAAAGUUGUUGCAGUUAAAAAGCUCGUAGUUGAAUUGGUGCAGAGUGCAACUCGCUGUGCCCUUCGGGGUGACUCCGUGUUUGGUUCUGCAUUCUGGUGGCCUAGUAAGCGCAUUUGUAUUUA